This is a long non-coding RNA of Oxyura jamaicensis (ruddy duck), 428 nucleotides long. RefSeq lists it as uncharacterized. NCBI's taxonomy places the organism in Eukaryota, Metazoa, Chordata, Aves, Anseriformes, Anatidae. The transcript has 3 exons. The record is from RefSeq and is a predicted model, not a curated record.
UCACAUAAGGAUGUGCAGUGAGCUGGACUUCAUAUUCAAUCACCCAAAAGAAAAGUGAAGGAGAAAGCCCACUUUUGCCUGGUGAGCCUCAACGUCAUGUAAGACACAAUGACCAAUUCCUUCUGGAUUUUACAUCAGUGAUAACUGCUUGAGUCUUUCCUGUCAUCAUUUGCCUUUGACUCUCUGGAAGAGUUUGGAGAUCUUUCAAAGGCUUGGCCUGUUGUCAAAAUCAGACUAUGGCAAGGAAAUGGGUGGUAACAACGCACAGAAAGGGUGAUGUCACCAAAGCACAUGGGGAGAAACUGAUACAAAAGUUUUGUAAAAGAGGUCAGCUGGAAAAGGGCUGCAUUACUGAGGAAGAUAUGUUGUGCUCAGCUCACCUCCUUUUUCAGAGAUAACUUCUCAGAAAUGUGAAAACAAGUGCCAUU